CCUCCCCACCGUGCGGCCGGCACCUGUGACGUCACAGCCAGCACCAGCUGACGGCGGGAGGAGGAAGAGGCGGCGGGGCGGGCCACGCUUUUUUAAAGAAGGAGGCGGGGCCGCCUCAAUGGGGCGUUGUAAGAAACCUGGGGCUCGGGAUAAAUCCAAAGUGGUUGCCUUCAGGCUGCUUGAUUUUUAACGUAGUCGAGAUGGGCUGUCCUUCAGCCUUCAGGAAGCAAAGACUGCUUGCCACCUGCGCUGGUUAUCAGCAGUGCCUGUGUGUGAUCACCUGGCGCUGUGCAUUGACAAAGUUCUCUGCCAUUAAGCAGGGGGUGUUUUUGUGAGAGGACGUUUCCAUGUGGAAGCGGACGCUCUGUAACUCAGGGAUAACGAGCCAAUGUGUGGUAGUUCACAAAGGUGUUUUCUCACCUCAUCCUGCAAAGAGCCUCACAUUUCCAUUUUAAUUGGGGAACUUGUAUUCAUCACUGAUGAUCCAGCUCAAUAUCUGCCAAAAUCAAAUUUUCAGCAAAUUGCAAAUCAGUCCAAGACACCUAGAGGUAUAAAAAAUACCUGGAAAGACCUAAGCAAAGCAACACAGUGUGCAGGUUCGGUUCUACUUCAUCUGCAUGGAUCUAUAUUACAGACCUGAAGUAGAAACAAACACACCAUAAUCAGAGCAGGAUGUAUAAUGGUGCACUGGUUAGCUGUCUGAAGGACAAGGAGAAUUGCCCCUGAAGGAAACCACCACAGAUGAAACCUGUGAUCUCUGCACUGGAAAACUGAGUAAUAGCCAAAACCGAAAAUAAAAUGAAACAAUGAAAGUGCUAAAUGAC
This 824-nucleotide long non-coding RNA is filed under the name Phasianus colchicus (ring-necked pheasant). RNAcentral's name for it is "lncRNA (ENSPCLG00000002012.1)". The record is from RNAcentral. Lineage: Eukaryota; Metazoa; Chordata; Aves; Galliformes; Phasianidae.